Molecule: ribosomal RNA, 468 nt
Filed under: uncultured bacterium
Lineage: Bacteria
Description: partial 16S ribosomal RNA
Rfam family: Bacterial small subunit ribosomal RNA
Source: RNAcentral
GACGAACGCUGGCGGCGUGCUUAACACAUGCAAGUCGAACGGAAAGGCCCUGCUUUUGUGGGGUGCUCGAGUGGCGAACGGGUGAGUAACACGUGAGUAACCUGCCCUUGACUUUGGGAUAACUUCAGGAAACUGGGGCUAAUACCGGAUAGGAGCUCCUGCUGCAUGGAGGGGGUUGGAAAGUUUCGGCGGUUGGGGAUGGACUCGCGGCUUAUCAGCUGGUUGGUGGGGUAGUGGCUUACCAAGGCUUUGACGGGUAGCCGGCCUGAGAGGGUGACCGGCCACAUUGGGACUGAGAGACGGCCCAGACUCCUACGCGAGGCAGCAGUGGGGCAUAUUGCACAAUGGGCGGCCGCCCGAUGCAGCAACGCCGCGUGCGGGAUGACGGCUUUCGGCUUGUAAACCGCUUUCGCCUGUGACGAAGCGUGAGUGACGCCCAUGGGUAAAGAAGCACCGCCUAACUCCGUG